GCUCACUCAGCUGUACCUGUACCAAAAUUGGAACAAUACAGAGAAGAUUAGCAUGGUCCCUGUGCAAGGAUCACACACAAAUUUGAGAAGGAUUCUUUAUUUUC
Mustela putorius furo (domestic ferret) is the source of this 104-nucleotide small nuclear RNA. The record is from Ensembl. Lineage: Eukaryota; Metazoa; Chordata; Mammalia; Carnivora; Mustelidae.